Molecule: non-coding RNA, 1394 nt
Organism: Lactuca sativa (garden lettuce)
Lineage: Eukaryota; Viridiplantae; Streptophyta; Magnoliopsida; Asterales; Asteraceae
Source: RefSeq, a predicted model, not a curated record
GCUUAAUCCAAAAAGUCAAAGAGAUGAUGGAUCAAUCAUCAAGCGAAAUCAGUUAAAGGACUACUUUCUAUUGGCAUAUUUAUUUAAAAUAUGUAAUCCAUGAUUAUUAGUCUUAUUAUGAUAUGCCAAAGGAGAGUUGCCCUGUAACUGUUUAUUGCUUAUAUGUUAUUAUGUUACAUACGACCGUUUUUUAGAAGAUGGACUGGAUUCAAGCAAUCCCAAGGUGGCAUUUACUAAGCCCAGUUGCUAACGCUGUUUAUUAUUUAUGAAGUAUGAUCAAAGAAUUAUCCUUACAUUACUACUCAACAUUUUCUGUUCAAAAGAGUAACAAGUUUAAAUACGAAUUUUACAAGUCGAAAUGGCGAUUCCAAUUCAUCCAUCAAAAUUGGGUUUGAUUUAAGCUAGUUUUAUUUUCACUUGUCAUAGUUUUAAAAUAAACAGAUCAAUUCUAUGCAAAAUUUUAAAAUAGAUAAAAAAAAAAGUUAUUGACAAAUCAACUAACCGGUUUUGAUCCGUAUUAGUUCAAAACUAUUAUUUUGAAUGCAUGCUAUCAAGCGUUAUUAAAAGUUAAAACAGUCUACAUUUGGGUUUGAUAGAAGAAACAUUCGCAGGAAACCGUUUCCUUAGUUUUACGAAAUAUAUUUUAUUUUUUGUAUUUUUUUCUCAUAAUUUUCAAUGCAACUACUUUAAUCUUAUCAUUUGUACUUUUAAGCUAAGUGUGGAGAACAUGUUAUCACACCCAAAAUGUUCACCUCGUUAAUAUAGUUACAUUUUUUUUGUUAUAACACUCAACGUACAAAUGGACAACAUCAAAUGACAUGUGAUAACACCUAUCGUUUUUUAUUUCUUUUUUCUUUUUUAUGUUUUUUAUUUCUAUUUUUAUAAUUUGUUUUAUUUUUUUAACGUAUGCCAUAAUAUUUAUAAAAAAACAUAUAAAUUAAUAAAAAAAAAAAUAAUUCAAUUAAAUACUAAUUUAAACAUACCAUUUUAAAACUAAAAACGACAUAAAAGAAAACAUUGACCAAAAGCAUACGAUAGUCCUAAUAAUUUAAAAAACUUAAAAGCGAUACACUAGUUGUCGUCCAAAUAUUUCCGCUCGAUCUUUGCCUUCAUUUUCCGGAGCAAUUGCGCUUGUCUCGGCUUCUCGAGGAAGGAACUCCAAAUGCUCACGUUGCAAGUCAUAUCUUUUAAUUUUGUACGCCGCAUAUUGUGUAAAACUGAGAGAAGGGGAUGUGCUUGUGUUUGGAGGAGUGUUGGAGUUUUGAUCCAUAAUGAUUGACUUUGAAAUUGGUUGAGUUGUACGUAAUAAGAUGAAAGAAAUAGGUUGAAUGUGUGUGUAAAAAUUGAAGUUAUAUGUGUAAUUAUAUUGGAGCUAAAAUGAUUUUUUUUUUCUA